UUUAACUGAAGAGUUUGAUCAUGGCUCAGAUUGAACGCUGGCGGCAGGCUUAACACAUGCAAGUCGAGCGGGGGAAGGUAGCUUGCUACUGGACCUAGCGGCGGACGGGUGAGUAAUGCUUAGGAAUCUGCCUAUUAGUGGGGGACAACAUCUCGAAAGGGAUGCUAAUACCGCAUACGUCCUACGGGAGAAAGCAGGGGAUCUUCGGACCUUGCGCUAAUAGAUGAGCCUAAGUCGGAUUAGCUAGUUGGUGGGGUAAAGGCCUACCAAGGCGACGAUCUGUAGCGGGUCUGAGAGGAUGAUC
RNAcentral lists this ribosomal RNA (304 nucleotides) under Acinetobacter baumannii. Its description in RNAcentral is "partial 16S ribosomal RNA". It matches the Rfam family "Bacterial small subunit ribosomal RNA", at positions 1 to 305 of the family's 1533-position model. Lineage: Bacteria; Pseudomonadati; Pseudomonadota; Gammaproteobacteria; Moraxellales; Moraxellaceae. The record is from RNAcentral.